CAAAAUUCCAUUCUCACCCACACUCUUCUCAUUGCUUUACUCUCUCUUUCUCUCUUUAAGAAGGCGAUGAAGAUUGUUGAAUUUCUUCAUCUAAAUGAUGAAUUUCUCAAUUUUACUUCUUCUUGGAUAGAAAUCAAGUUUUUUUUAUGUGUAUGCAGCAAGACAAUGGUGAAGAUGACAGUGGAAAAUGAGGAGAGACAUUGCUAUGCUUCUUGAAUCUCAUCCUGAUGUAUUCGGCUUACUAUAUUGACACAAAUCAAGGCUGCUGAAUUCCUGUCCAGUUUGGUCAUUCUGUUUUUAUUUUUAAAAAAAAGAAAUGGAUUUUACUUAGUCCUUUCCUCAUUCACCUCUGCUCGAUUCGUCGGAGUUUUUGGAAUCCCAUUUCAGUGGUGGAAGCUCUUCCUCGCUGCUCUGCUCGUCCAGUUUCAGCUUGCUGCCUUCGAAAGGGCUCGUGCCGUUAAGUUUCUCGUAGAGUUGAUGGAUCCUGUUGCUCGGAUGGUUGGCAAGGCUGAUGCAGUUUUUAUCAAAUCUCACAACCAUUCACGAGGGAAGAGCAACAAUUUGUGAGGAAAGAUGAUGAUCUCAAAUGCUUUUCGAGAAUUGACUAUUUAUUGUUCCUUUCAGGUAAGACUUGCAAACAAUUUUAUGAAGUGCAGCUCUCCUCUUCGAUUCACUGUCUCAUGAUAGAUUAGAGAAAAGAGUCUUGUUUGUCUGAGGUUGUUGUGAAGAAUUCAGAAGUCCAAGAAUUCGACGAAUCCGUACGUUGAUCUCAGACUCCAGCCUUGGGCAAGGGGCACACACAUACUCAUGAGGAAUCUAGUAUAAACACCGAAUGUCUUAUGCAUCGAGCUUUUUUUUCUUUUUUUUUGAGAAUCGAUCUUUUAAUACACAACUAACAAAUUUACUAGGUGUGAAUGUUCAACUGCUACUUAUUGAUAUUGUCACUACAUUGGAUUUGAGCUCUCUAUAAAUGUGAUACUCCUAAAAGUUUUUAUGUUAAAGAUUUCCUUUGUUUGGA
Long non-coding RNA from Solanum tuberosum (potato), 1018 nucleotides. RefSeq lists it as uncharacterized. The record is from RefSeq and is a predicted model, not a curated record. Lineage: Eukaryota; Viridiplantae; Streptophyta; Magnoliopsida; Solanales; Solanaceae. The transcript has 3 exons.